UGGGGAAUAUUGGACAAUGGGCGCAAGCCUGAUCCAGCCAUACCGCGUGGGUGAAGAAGGCCUUCGGGUUGUAAAGCCCUUUUGUUGGGAAAGAAAUCCAGCUGGCUAAUACCCGGUUGGGAUGACGGUACCCAAAGAAUAAGCACCGGCUAACUUCGUGCCAGCAGCCGCGGUAAUACGAAGGGUGCAAGCAUUACUCGGAAUUACUGGGCGUAAAGCGUGCGUAGGUGGUCGUUUAAGUCCGUUGUGAAAGCCCUGGGCUCAACCUGGGAACUGCAGUGGAUACUGGGCGACUAGAGUGUGGUAGAGGGUAGCGGAAUUCCUGGUGUAGCAGUGAAAUGCGUAGAGAUCAGGAGGAACAUCCAUGGCGAAGGCAGCUACCUGGACCAACACUGACACUGAGGCACGAAAGCGUGGGGAGCAAACAGGAUUAGAUACCCUGGUAGUCCACGCCCUAAACGAUGCGAACUGGAUGUUGGGUGCAAUUUGGCACGCAGUAUCGAAGCUAACGCGUUAAGUUCGCCGCCUGGGGAGUACGGUCGCAAGACUG
This 550-nucleotide ribosomal RNA is filed under the name uncultured bacterium. RNAcentral's name for it is "bacterial SSU rRNA". It matches the Rfam family "Bacterial small subunit ribosomal RNA", at positions 355 to 896 of the family's 1533-position model. The record is from RNAcentral.